UUUCAGUGAAAUCACUGGUGGAGUCCAGGACCUCACACUGUCUAUACUCUAGAACUUUUCUGCCUUCCUCCCAGCCAGCAUGGUCUGCCAGCCAAUCCUGCUUUGGGGAUUAACACGACAACAUCAGGAAACAAAGGAUUCCAUCUUGUUGGACAAAGAGCAGUGUGGUUUCUCUCCCAAACCAGAUUUCCAAUCUUGACACAAGAUUUCCACGGCUCUGCUGGGAAUUCCUCCCAGCUAAGUCCUGAGUCAGUUAUUUUCUGGUAGGAAUGCAAACAGCACGCUGGCGAAAUUUUUCUUUCUGUUUUCAGUGAAUUUCGUUCUCUAGCUAGAUUAAGAUCUUUGGUUACAUCACAUCUCCAACUGGCAGAGGACCAGUCCUGAUUUUUCAAAGAGAACAUUGUCCUGGAGAAGAGUUUCAAGAAUGGAUAUCGUUUUUCCUAGAGCAGCUGUUGGAAGGCUGGAAGGUUGGACACAAAGGAGGGUUUUCCAGCAGAUCCUGGUUGCUGAGUGGCUGUGAUGAUGUCCCGCCCUGGGGGAUGUUAAGUCAGGUGGCGCUCACCAUGCCCACUGAGCUGGCCUUGGGCUGUGAGGUUGUGCAAGACACCGUCAGCCACAGCCCUGAAAGGAGGGUGACAACGAGGACCCAGCCUGCAGAGCCAUGGCAGAGACAAAGUUCCGAGGUGACACGCUGCCCAAGGAUGCUGGGGCAGGUACCUGUCAGCAGGUAAACCUGUGAAUCCCUCAUUUCCUUUUCAGGGUCAUUAGUCUGGCCCUGCCUUAGCCUCUGGGCUCCAGGACCAUAAAGGCGGCCGCUGACCUGGGACCAGGAAGGUGCUCCUUCCCAGUUAACACGAGGUCUUCUUGAAUGCUACCCUUGCAGCGAAAGACAGCGCCACGGCCACCCUGGAUUCUCUCCUCAUGCUCACCUCCCUCAGCCCACACCCCCAGGGCCUUCCUGGAGCCCCCGCCUCACCUCCUACAACCACGCUGAUCUUGUUCUCACCGCACCUGUUCUCGGCGCCCACAACAGGGCACUCUUGAGACCAGAACCUCUGCUGCUCACCUAGAACCACGUCCAAGACCCAGUUGCCUUGCACACCUUUUGUACCUCAGAUUCUUGGAGGAGUGAAGUGUGGCAACCGUCGGUGUGAUAAGGAGGAAAAAUUGAUUUUAGAACAUCAAGAAAUUUAAUUUCUUUGAAAUACAUAAAGUGCACUCUGUGCAUAUGUGGGGGGCUGGGGGAGGGCUAGGCGGGAGAACCUCUGUGUAAGUGAAUACUUUAGUAAAUGGAUAAUUUAUGAGGAUAUCUGGUGUCUAGGGACAAAAUUUGCAUAUAAAGUGGUUUUCUAAAUUGUCCUAAAAUAGCUUCGCGCUUAAAGUAUUUCCCCUGCUUAUGUUGUUGGAUUACUUUCUACUAGCAAAGGUAGGCUCUAGGCCUGUGAGCCAGAGUCAGUUCAAAUUCUGAUCUAGAGGCAUUUCAAAAACAAAUGAAGUUUCUACCACGUUGAAGAAAAACCAGGUUGCAUUUUUCUUUGGAUUUGGUGCCAAACCGGGCAGGAUAACGCCUUUCUCUCCGUCCACCACUUCUUCCUGAUUCUGGGUGCGUUGAGAGCAUUUUGUUUUUCUGUUUAAUCCUCAUCUGUUUCACUUCGUCUUCCCUUGGACUAAUAUGGAAUAUUUCUCAAGGGCCAGAGAUUCGAGGGAAAAACUCCAAACCCUUUAAUCGCCUCCAUGUACCUUGUGGCCUCACCCACCACGGUCUGUAAGUGUUUGUUUACUGGAUGCGAGGACAGGACAAACUUUCUGCUAGCAUUUUUGACAAGUUUCCAGCUGGUCUCUAAUUUAGAAACUAGGCAUUUCUGUCCACCCUGUUCCCGAUAUUUGUGAUAUAUUCCCUACUCCGUAAAGAAUGAGGACGGCAAAACUUUCGAGUCUCAAAACCCCUCCCAGGCAAAGAAGUAGGUUGACCUUUUUAAAAGCUAAACACUAGAAAAAGCAAAACACAAACAAAAACGGUCCAAAAUAAACCCCCCCACACACACCCCCUGAAAUUUUUUUCAAUGCAGAUUGUAAGUGUUCCUUAAAAAGGCCAUUUUCAGGGGAAAAACACAGCAAGGUCUAUCUGCAAAGAACUUAUGCCAAAUAGAUGCCGGGGCAGGGCUGGUGAAAACAUGUUGCCUCGGGUGGCAGGUGCUGGCUGCAAGGUGAGGCUUCCUGCCCGCAGCAGAAUCCCACCUGGAGCAAAAGCGGACCACCUCCUUUCCUGCACUGCCCAACACGUGGGCAUCUCAUUCCCCUGCUUAAAGUCUCAGUCUCCUAAGUGUACAGACUCAAUCUUUGUUUCCUGGGCUCUGACCCGGGCCUGCCCUUCCCUGCCUCCUGCCCCAGAGUCCCAGCCUCUGCUUCUCCCUGCCGUCUCUCUGCAUAAAUGCUAGUUCUUCCUUUGGAAACAGGACCCCAAGGCUCUUCAGUUGGCUUCCUAACUACUAGUUCCCUUCUUCCCUUCCCCUUCCUCCCUUUUCCUCCAUAAAAUAUUUUAAGGAAUAGAUUCUCUGUUCCUUGACGAUUUGAUAAAAAUGGCCUUAGAACAGUCUCCGUGUUAUCUAUAGCUCUAUCCAGCCAUCAUUUAAAAGAGUAUUUUUCCCCUUUUUUUCUGUUUUCCUUGGUAAUAAAAGUUCCUCCAGUUUUUUGGGGAUAUUAUCUUUUUGUCUGUCCUGUAUGUUUCAAAGAGUUUUCCUCAUUUGUCCAUCCAGCAUCAAUUGUGGUUAUGGUGCUUUUUCACAUAGAAGAAUUUUUGAAUUUAUGUCUUGGUUUAUAUGUGUUCAUUUUUAAGUGUUUAUAUAUUCUCUAGUACUACUUGUUUAUAUAUUUGUCUUGUAAUAUUUUUUCUUUUACUUAAAGACUACAAAUGUAUUUUUUCUUUUUUCAAUUUCUAAUAGAAUUUUAAAGGUUAGACUCCAUUUACCUUUAUUACAAAAUGUUGGCUAUAUUCCCUGUGUUGUACAAUAUGUACUUGCAUUAUCUAAACAUCUAGUAUAGCAAAGAUUUUAAUUUUUUUUAACUUGUUUUGGAAACCUGGGAUCUCCAAUAGGUUUUCCCAAGUGUGUUGCCAGUGUUCCAACAGUAAUUAUGAACUUUUUCUCCAGGAAUUUAAAAAACCAGUUUAUUCUUUUCUAAAUUCUAGUUAUGCUUGACUCUGUAUCUAUCUGAAUUCAUAGAUCUGUCCCACUACCCUAAUAUUUUGCUAGCAGGGGUUUAACUACCCUUUCCUCUGUCUCACAUGCCACCCUCUUCUGUGGGACCUAUUAUGGGCCACUAUUUAUUCUUCUGCCAAUUUCAUGUCACUAGUCUUGAGGACACCAACUGUUACCCUUAUUAGCUGCUCAAUCAGUAUUUUUGGAAUAAGGAAAUAAAGGAAGUAUUUGAGGCUUGCAGUGUUGUGGGGUUUUUUUUUCAUUUUUAAAGUUUUAUUGAAGAAUAGAUGAUUUACAAGGUUGUGGUCAGUUCUGCUGUACAACCCAGGGAUUCAGUUAUGCAUGGACACACAUCUGUUCUGUUUCAGAUUCUUUUCGUACAUAGAUGAUCACAGAAUAUUGGGUAGCGGUCUCUGUGCUCGACAGCAAGUCCCCAUUGGCCAGUCAUUCCAUAGACCUCAGUGUGCAUAUGCCAAUCCCAAAAACCCAGUGCAUCCCUACCCCCCACCACCUGUCCUCUUUGG
Molecule: non-coding RNA, 3721 nt
Organism: Sus scrofa (pig)
Lineage: Eukaryota; Metazoa; Chordata; Mammalia; Artiodactyla; Suidae
Source: RefSeq, a predicted model, not a curated record